RNAcentral lists this ribosomal RNA (465 nucleotides) under Porphyromonas gulae. Its description in RNAcentral is "bacterial SSU rRNA". It matches the Rfam family "Bacterial small subunit ribosomal RNA", at positions 9 to 464 of the family's 1533-position model. Lineage: Bacteria; Pseudomonadati; Bacteroidota; Bacteroidia; Bacteroidales; Porphyromonadaceae. The record is from RNAcentral.
GAGUUUGAUUCUGGCUCAGGAUGAACGCUAGCGAUAGGCUUAACACAUGCAAGUCGAGGGGCAGCAUGAUCUUAGCUUGCUAAGGUUGAUGGCGACCGGCGCACGGGUGCGUAACGCGUAUGCAACUUGCCUUACAGAGGGGGAUAACCCGUUGAAAGACGGACUAAUACCGCAUACACUUGUUUGGUUGCAUGAUCGGGCAAGGAAAUAUUUAUAGCUGUAAGAUAGGCAUGCGUCCCAUUAGCUGGUUGGUGAGGUAACGGCUCACCAAGGCUACGAUGGGUAGGGGAACUGAGAGGUUUAUCCCCCACACUGGUACUGAGACACGGACCAGACUCCUACGGGAGGCAGCAGUGAGGAAUAUUGGUCAAUGGGCGAGAGCCUGAACCAGCCAAGUCGCGUGAAGGAAGACUGUCCUAAGGAUUGUAAACUUCUUUUAUACGGGAAUAACGGGCGAUACGUGUA